UCUAAAGGGAACCGGGCCUUCGACUUUGCCGAGAUGAGGUUCCUCUCUUGCUUCUGAUGCAAUUUGUUUGGAUUGUCCUGUAGAUGUAGGGUAGUGCCAAAGACAUGUAGAUAUACAACUUUUAGUUAAAAUGAAGUUAUUGGUUGUACAUUCGUAAGUUCUCCGAGCUCCAUGGUCGUGGGAGGUCGGCUCCUCUGAGCUCCUUA
This 206-nucleotide long non-coding RNA is filed under the name Elaeis guineensis (African oil palm). RNAcentral's name for it is "long non-coding RNA (EGUI_LNC073066)". Lineage: Eukaryota; Viridiplantae; Streptophyta; Magnoliopsida; Arecales; Arecaceae. The record is from RNAcentral.